GCCUUCGUGGUGUAGUGGUCAGCACGCUUGACGCGUAACCAAGAGGUCCGUGGUUCGAUUCCCGGCGAAGGCG
This 73-nucleotide transfer RNA is filed under the name Stegodyphus mimosarum. It matches the Rfam family "tRNA". From Rfam's summary of the family: Transfer RNA (tRNA) molecules are approximately 80 nucleotides in length. Their secondary structure includes four short double-helical elements and three loops (D, anti-codon, and T loops). Further hydrogen bonds mediate the characteristic L-shaped molecular structure. tRNAs have two regions of fundamental functional importance: the anti-codon, which is responsible for specific mRNA codon recognition, and the 3' end, to which the tRNAs corresponding amino acid is attached (by aminoacyl-tRNA synthetases). tRNAs cope with the degeneracy of the genetic code in two manners: having more than one tRNA (with a specific anti-codon) for a particular amino acid; and 'wobble' base-pairing, i.e. permitting non-standard base-pairing at the 3rd anti-codon position. Lineage: Eukaryota; Metazoa; Arthropoda; Arachnida; Araneae; Eresidae. The record is from Rfam by way of RNAcentral.